GGAUUAGAUACCCUGGUAGUCCAUGCCGUAAACGUUGGGCACUAGGUGUAGGAGGUAUUCUACCCCUUCUGUGCCGUAGCUAACGCAUUAAGUAUCCCGCCUGGGGAGUACGACCGCAAGGUUGAAACUCAAAGGAAUUGACGGGGGCCCGCACAAGCGGUGGAGCAUGCGGUUUAAUUCGACACAACGCGAAGAACCUUACCAGGACUUGACAUCACCGCAAGGGACCAUGGCCCUAUGGAAACAUGGGGUCUUAGGUAGACAGGUGUUGCAUGGCUGUCGUCAGCUCGUGUCG
This 295-nucleotide ribosomal RNA is filed under the name uncultured bacterium. RNAcentral describes it as "partial 16S ribosomal RNA". It matches the Rfam family "Bacterial small subunit ribosomal RNA", at positions 775 to 1067 of the family's 1533-position model. The record is from RNAcentral.